RNAcentral lists this ribosomal RNA (404 nucleotides) under uncultured prokaryote. RNAcentral's name for it is "bacterial SSU rRNA". It matches the Rfam family "Bacterial small subunit ribosomal RNA", at positions 355 to 774 of the family's 1533-position model. The record is from RNAcentral.
UGGGGAAUAUUGGGCAAUGGGCGAAAGCCUGACCCAGCAACGCCGCGUGAUAGAAGAAGGCCUUCGGGUUGUAAAUAUCUGUCCUAUGGGACGAAAAAAAUGACGGUACCAUAGGAGGAAGCCUCGGCUAACUACGUGCCAGCAGCCGCGGUAAUACGUAGGUGGCGAGCGUUAUCCGGAAUUAUUGGGCGUAAAGCGCGCGCAGGUGGGAUAGUAAGUCUUUUGUAAAAGUGCGGGGCUCAACCCCGUAAUGCGACGGAUACUGCUAUUCUUGAGUGCAGGAGAGGAAAGCGGAAUUCCCAGUGUAGCGGUGAAAUGCGUAGAUAUUGGGAAGAACACCGGUGGCGAAGGCGACUUGCUGGGCAGCAACUGACGCUGAGGCGCGAAAGCCAGGGGAGCAAACG